This is a long non-coding RNA of Carassius auratus (goldfish), 1016 nucleotides long. RefSeq lists it as uncharacterized. The transcript is spliced from 2 exons. NCBI's taxonomy places the organism in Eukaryota, Metazoa, Chordata, Actinopteri, Cypriniformes, Cyprinidae. The record is from RefSeq and is a predicted model, not a curated record.
CUUCCUGCAUUAUUCAGCCUAACCAUGUGCCGUGCUGUGCAGAACACACGUCUAGAUUAGUCAGAAGGGAAGAUUUGCUUAAGCAUGGGAUUCAGAUGAGUGGCCAGCUCCUGCUGCACAUCAGUCGGCUGAACAAAGAAUAUGUUUCUUUCACGACUGUUUUGGGGUGAAAGCCAAAAAGUGCCGUCCUCCAUGCACUUCGUUUUAUUUGGGAGUUUGUGUUAGCAGAUGUGAGUAGGCCCCUCCUGGGUGCAGAUUUCCUGUGCACUAAUGGACUGUUGGUUGAUGUCAAAAGGACUGCUGGUUCAUGCCUGGGCCCGUCGAUUAGAUCCAGUGAAACUGACAGUUGCCAAGGCCAAGUUCGCUAACAUUGAAAAACUGGGUAUAGUGCAAUGCUCUAACAGUCCUUGGGCCUCGCCCCUCCACAAAGUCCCCAAAGCAGAUGGUGGUGACCGCCCAUGUGGAGAUGAUUGUCAACUCAAUGACAUCACCACGCCCGACCGAUACCCAGUUCCGCACAUUCAGGAUUUUUCGGCCCGAAUUGUGUGAAUUAUUUUGUUGAAAGCGGAACUUAUUCGAGGUUACCAUCACGUGCCAGUCUUCAAGGAGGACACCCCAAAAACAGCGGUGACAAAAUUAUUUGGGCUUUUAGAAUUUUUGCGGAUGCCUUUUGGACUCAAAAACGCAGCACAAACCUUUCAGCGCAUGAUGGACUCUGGCUCCUAGAAUGGGUCACCCAGCCACCAUCAAAAGGAUGGACCCAGGGUGAAAUCUCAGAUUGUUAAAGAGGUUCAACAUGCUGCUGACUCAAGCUACUGCACAUGUUCAGCGAGACCAGUUCAAGCCCCAAGCAAGCUUCUGUUAUUUAUCACUGAUACAUAAUUCACACAUCACCAACACACACAUGCAUAUUUGACACGUCCCCUUUAAGAGUUAGAGAGUUUUGUUGAUGUGCAGUUAAGAUGCAGAAAGUGUAAAAAAAGAAAAAAUAUAUGACUGUUCUGGUCUGAAGCAGC